UGGGGAAUAUUGGACAAUGGGCGAAAGCCUGAUCCAGCCAUGCCGCGUGUGUGAAGAAGGUCUUCGGAUUGUAAAGCACUUUAAGUUGGGAGGAAGGGCAUUAACCUAAUACGUUAGUGUUUUGACGUUACCGACAGAAUAAGCACCGGCUAACUCUGUGCCAGCAGCCGCGGUAAUACAGAGGGUGCAAGCGUUAAUCGGAAUUACUGGGCGUAAAGCGCGCGUAGGUGGUUUGUUAAGUUGGAUGUGAAAUCCCCGGGCCCAACCUGGGAACUGCAUUCAAAACUGACUGACUAGAGUAUGGUAGAGGGUGGUGGAAUUUCCUGUGUAGCGGUGAAAUGCGUAGAUAUAGGAAGGAACACCAGUGGCGAAGGCGACCACCUGGACUAAUACUGACACUGAGGUGCGAAAGCGUGGGGAGCAAACA
This 427-nucleotide ribosomal RNA is filed under the name uncultured bacterium. RNAcentral's name for it is "partial 16S ribosomal RNA". It matches the Rfam family "Bacterial small subunit ribosomal RNA", at positions 355 to 774 of the family's 1533-position model. The record is from RNAcentral.